AAAGCGAGCGGCGGAUGGGUGAGUAACACGUGGGGAACCUGCCCCUAAGUCUGGGAUACCAUUUGGAAACAGGUGCUAAUACCGGAUAAUAAAGCAGAUCGCAUGAUCAGCUUUUGAAAGGCGGCGUAAGCUGUCGCUAAGGGAUGGCCCCGCGGUGCAUUAGCUAGUUGGUAAGGUAACGGCUUACCAAGGCGACGAUGCAUAGCCGAGUUGAGAGACUGAUCGGCCACAUUGGGACUGAGACACGGCCCAAACUCCUACGGGAGGCAGCAGUAGGGAAUCUUCCACAAUGGACGCAAGUCUGAUGGAGCAACGCCGCGUGAGUGAAGAAGGUUUUCGGAUCGUAAAGCUCUGUUGUUGGUGAAGAAGGAUAGAGGUAGUAACUGGCCUUUAUUUGACGGUAAUCAACCAGAAAGUCACGGCUAACUACGUGCCAGCAGCCGCGGUAAUACGUAGGUGGCAAGCGUUGUCCGGAUUUAUUGGGCGUAAAGCGAGCGCAGGCGGAAAAAUAAGUCUAAUGUGAAAGCCCUCGGCUUAACCGAGGAACUGCAUCGGAAACUGUUUUUCUUGAGUGCAGAAGAGGAGAGUGGAACUCCAUGUGUAGCGGUGGAAUGCGUAGAUAUAUGGAAGAACACCAGUGGCGAAGGCGGCUCUCUGGUCUGCAACUGACGCUGAGGCUCGAAAGCAUGGGUAGCGAACAGGAUUAGAUACCCUGGUAGUCCAUGCCGUAAACGAUGAGUGCUAAGUGUUGGGGAGGUUUCCGCCUCUCA
Molecule: ribosomal RNA, 770 nt
Filed under: uncultured bacterium
Lineage: Bacteria
Description: bacterial SSU rRNA
Rfam family: Bacterial small subunit ribosomal RNA
Source: RNAcentral